RNAcentral lists this unclassified non-coding RNA (280 nucleotides) under Hevea brasiliensis (rubber tree). Lineage: Eukaryota; Viridiplantae; Streptophyta; Magnoliopsida; Malpighiales; Euphorbiaceae. The record is from RNAcentral.
ACCGACCGAAUGCUCUCCCCUAAUCCUACAUGUUCUUUUUCAGGUACAAAUCAGGUCUAACAACAAUUCGUGAUUGACCAUAAAAGUGAAUGCAAUAACUAAAAUAAAAAUUAAAUUCAAACUCGUACAUUUUCAAAAUGUCAAUUUCCCACGAAUCAAAGCGACUUUUUUAAAGCUCAUGUCAUAUGUAACCUGAAGUCAAUGCUCUUGAAGAUCAAGAGAAGCUUCUUUUCAUUCAGUAUUUCGAGUUGUCAAUUUUAGUAAUGAUCACACACACACA